UUGAGCACAUCAACUCACAGUUAUUCAAAGGCCAUUGUCCACUCCACGCUGCCCAAUCCAAGUCCAGUCAACGAUUUGAUUUUCCAGAAACUUACUCCUCAAUUUUUUACAAGAACCCAACUCCAACCAUGAACUCCAUGAAGUUUGCCGUUAUCUUGGUCUUCGUCGUCCUUGCCGUGGGUGUGUCUGUGGAUGGGCGGAAGUGGGAGGACGGCGCCUGGGUGUACGACGACAACGCCGAGUGCAGCAACUCCAAGGACCUCGGAACCACGAACUGCUACCCCGCCUGGAAGGACACCGCCGCAGCCUGCACCGAGACCUACCACGCCCAGUCCCAGUUCCAAGGCUACAUCAAAAAAGAUGGCUGCACCUUCAGCAAACGCUUCUGCUGCAGCACGGGCUCAUUCUAAAUUACUUGAGUGCCAUAUUUUCGUUAUAUUUAACUAAUUUUGACCCUUACUUUAUUUUGACGCUAAAUUUAUUUGUGCUCGCUAUUUUAUCUUAUCAAAGAAAUUAAUUAUUUCUUGAUUUCAGUUACAAACUGUUUAAUGAAUAAUUGUUUUCAAUUUUUAAAAUUUUUGUUCGUGCCCUUACUUAAAAUGACGUGACUACAGAAUAUUAAGCAAUUCUCAAUUAAAUUAUUAUACUACGGACGUAAGUAUGCAAGAAUAUGUACAUAGUUUCAUUCAUAUAAAAUAAUAAUGCGGAUAAUAAAUGUGAAAUAAGUACUUAUUUACCAA
Long non-coding RNA from Folsomia candida, 740 nucleotides. RefSeq lists it as uncharacterized. The record is from RefSeq and is a predicted model, not a curated record. NCBI's taxonomy places the organism in Eukaryota, Metazoa, Arthropoda, Collembola, Entomobryomorpha, Isotomidae. The transcript has 2 exons.